GGUUAAGUUAGAAAGGGCGCACGGUGGAUGCCUUGACACUAGGAGUCGAUGAAGGACGGGACUAACGCCGAUAUGCUUCGGGGAGCUGUAAGUAAGCUUUGAUCCGAAGAUUUCCGAAUGGGGAAACCCACCAUACGUAAUGGUAUGGUAUCCUUAUCUGAAUACAUAGGGUAAGGAAGACAGACCCAGGGAACUGAAACAUCUAAGUACCUGGAGGAAGAGAAAGCAAAUGCGAUUUCCUGAGUAGCGGCGAGCGAAACGGAACAUAGCCCAAACCAAGAGGCUUGCCUCUUGGGGUUGUAGGACAUUCUAUACGGAGUUACAAAGGAACGAGGUAGACGAAGCGACCUGGAAAGGUCCGUCGUAGAGGGUAACAACCCCGUAGUCGAAACUUCGUUCUCUCUUGAAUGUAUCCUGAGUACGGCGGAACACGUGAAAUUCCGUCGGAAUCUGGGAGGACCAUCUCCCAAGGCUAAAUACUCCCUAGUGAUCGAUAGUGAACCAGUACCGUGAGGGAAAGGUGAAAAGCACCCCGGAAGGGGAGUGAAAGAGAUCCUGAAACCGUGUGCCUACAAAUAGUCAGAGCCCGUUAACGGGUGAUGGCGUGCCUUUUGUAGAAUGAACCGGCGAGUUACGAUCCCGUGCGAGGUUAAGCUGAAGAGGCGGAGCCGCAGCGAAAGCGAGUCUGAAUAGGGCGUUUAGUACGUGGUCGUAGACCCGAAACCAGGUGAUCUACCCAUGUCCAGGGUGAAGUUCAGGUAACACUGAAUGGAGGCCCGAACCCACGCACGUUGAAAAGUGCGGGGAUGAGGUGUGGGUAGCGGAGAAAUUCCAAUCGAACCUGGAGAUAGCUGGUUCUCCCCGAAAUAGCUUUAGGGCUAGCCUUAAGUGUAAGAGUCUUGGAGGUAGAGCACUGAUUGGACUAGGGGUCCUCAUCGGAUUACCGAAUUCAGUCAAACUCCGAAUGCCAAUGACUUAUCCUUAGGAGUCAGACUGCGAGUGAUAAGAUCCGUAGUCAAAAGGGAAACAGCCCAGACCGCCAGCUAAGGUCCCAAAGUGUGUAUUAAGUGGAAAAGGAUGUGGAGUUGCUUAGACAACUAGGAUGUUGGCUUAGAAGCAGCCACCAUUUAAAGAGUGCGUAAUAGCUCACUAGUCGAGUGACUCUGCGCCGAAAAUGUACCGGGGCUAAAUACACCACCGAAGCUGCGGAUUGAUACCAAUGGUAUCAGUGGUAGGGGAGCGUUCUAAGGACAGUGAAGUCAGACCGUAAGGACUGGUGGAGUGCUUAGAAGUGAGAAUGCCGGUAUGAGUAGCGAAAGACGGGUGAGAAUCCCGUCCACCGAAUGCCUAAGGUUUCCUGAGGAAGGCUCGUCCGCUCAGGGUUAGUCAGGACCUAAGCCGAGGCCGACAGGCGUAGGCGAUGGACAACAGGUUGAUAUUCCUGUACCACCUCUUUAUCGUUUGAGCAAUGGAGGGACGCAGAAGGAUAGAAGAAGCGUGCGAUUGGUUGUGCACGUCCAAGCAGUUAGGCUGAUAAGUAGGCAAAUCCGCUUAUCGUAAAGGCUGAGCUGUGAUGGGGAAGCUCCUUAUGGAGCGAAGUCUUUGAUUCCCCGCUGCCAAGAAAAGCUUCUAGCGAGAUAAAAGGUGCCUGUACCGCAAACCGACACAGGUAGGCGAGGAGAGAAUCCUAAGGUGUGCGAGAGAACUCUGGUUAAGGAACUCGGCAAAAUGACCCCGUAACUUCGGGAGAAGGGGUGCUUUCUUAACGGAAAGCCGCAGUGAAUAGGCCCAAGCGACUGUUUAGCAAAAACACAGCUCUCUGCGAAGCCGUAAGGCGAAGUAUAGGGGGUGACACCUGCCCGGUGCUGGAAGGUUAAGGAGAGGGGUUAGCGUAAGCGAAGCUCUGAACUGAAGCCCCAGUAAACGGCGGCCGUAACUAUAACGGUCCUAAGGUAGCGAAAUUCCUUGUCGGGUAAGUUCCGACCCGCACGAAAGGUGUAACGAUUUGGGCACUGUCUCAACCAGAGACUCGGUGAAAUUAUAGUACCUGUGAAGAUGCAGGUUACCCGCGACAGGACGGAAAGACCCCGUGGAGCUUUACUGUAGCCUGAUAUUGAAUUUUGGUACAGUUUGUACAGGAUAGGCGGGAGCCAUUGAAACCGGAGCGCUAGCUUCGGUGGAGGCGCUGGUGGGAUACCGCCCUGACUGUAUUGAAAUUCUAACCUACGGGUCUUAUCGACCCGGGAGACAGUGUCAGGUGGGCAGUUUGACUGGGGCGGUCGCCUCCUAAAGUGUAACGGAGGCGCCCAAAGGUUCCCUCAGAAUGGUUGGAAAUCAUUCGUAGAGUGCAAAGGCAUAAGGGAGCUUGACUGCGAGACCUACAAGUCGAGCAGGGACGAAAGUCGGGCUUAGUGAUCCGGUGGUUCCGCAUGGAAGGGCCAUCGCUCAACGGAUAAAAGCUACCCCGGGGAUAACAGGCUUAUCUCCCCCAAGAGUCCACAUCGACGGGGAGGUUUGGCACCUCGAUGUCGGCUCAUCGCAUCCUGGGGCUGUAGUCGGUCCCAAGGGUUGGGCUGUUCGCCCAUUAAAGCGGUACGCGAGCUGGGUUCAGAACGUCGUGAGACAGUUCGGUCCCUAUCCGUCGUGGGCGUAGGAAAUUUGAGAGGAGCUGUCCUUAGUACGAGAGGACCGGGAUGGACGCACCGCUGGUGUACCAGUUGUUCUGCCAAGGGCAUAGCUGGGUAGCUAUGUGCGGAAGGGAUAAGUGCUGAAAGCAUCUAAGCAUGAAGCCCCCCUCAAGAUGAGAUUUCCCAUAGCGUAAGCUAGUAAGAUCCCUGAAAGAUGAUCAGGUUGAUAGGUUCGAGGUGGAAGCAUGGUGACAUGUGGAGCUGACGAAUACUAAUAGAUCGAGGACUUAACCAU
RNAcentral lists this ribosomal RNA (2922 nucleotides) under Bacillus cereus. RNAcentral's name for it is "23S ribosomal RNA". It matches the Rfam family "Bacterial large subunit ribosomal RNA". The record is from RNAcentral. RNAcentral also lists the same sequence under 4 other names. Lineage: Bacteria; Bacillati; Bacillota; Bacilli; Caryophanales; Bacillaceae.